AUUGAACGCUGGCGGCAGGCUUAACACAUGCAAGUCGAGCGGAGCGAGGGUGCUUGCACCUUAGCUUAGCGGCGGACGGGUGAGUAAUGCUUAGGAAUCUGCCUAUUUGUGGGGGACAACAUUCCGAAAGGGAUGCUAAUACCGCAUACGCCCUACGGGGGAAAGCAGGGGAUCUUCGGCCCUUGCGCUAAUAGAUGAGCCUAAGUCGGAUUAGCUAGUUGGUGGGGUAAAGGCCUACCAAGGCGACGAUCUGUAGCGGGUCUGAGAGGAUGAUCCGCCACACUGGGACUGAGACACGGCCCAGACUCCUACGGGAGGCAGCAGUGGGGAAUAUUGGACAAUGGGCGGAAGCCUGAUCCAGCCAUGCCGCGUGUGUGAAGAAGGCCUUUUGGUUGUAAAGCACUUUAAGCGAGGAGGAGGCUACUAGUAUUAAUACUACUGGAUAGUGGACGUUACUCGCAGAAUAAGCACCGGCUAACUCUGUGCCAGCCGCCGCAGUAA
RNAcentral lists this ribosomal RNA (501 nucleotides) under uncultured bacterium. Its description in RNAcentral is "partial 16S ribosomal RNA". It matches the Rfam family "Bacterial small subunit ribosomal RNA", at positions 30 to 523 of the family's 1533-position model. The record is from RNAcentral.